UUUAUGGAGAGUUUGAUCCUGGCUCAGGAUGAACGCUGGCGGCGUGCCUAAUACAUGUAAGUCG
This 64-nucleotide ribosomal RNA is filed under the name Staphylococcus aureus. Its description in RNAcentral is "partial 16S ribosomal RNA". It matches the Rfam family "Bacterial small subunit ribosomal RNA", at positions 1 to 64 of the family's 1533-position model. The record is from RNAcentral. Lineage: Bacteria; Bacillati; Bacillota; Bacilli; Caryophanales; Staphylococcaceae.